AAUGUUGCAAGUGAAAUGAAGAUCGAGUUUAUCUCGUCUGCAAGUGAGUCUGGAUCAAGCUCAAAGGUAAAAGAACGGUCUGGAACUGAUGUUAGUCAUGACGAUACCGUCACUGAAUACUCCAAUCAUUUUGUCGACUGGGUCAGCCAUGGUGGGGUGCUCUUCUGGUGAAGCUUACUCAAAGUAACUAAUCAACAUUGACUUCUUUCAUCUGAUAAAUUACAUCCGAAGGAUGUAGUUCUGUAGCCAAAAGUGAAAACAUAACAUUAUCAGUCAGCUCGGUGAGGCGGUAAAUAAAGGAUGGUAAGAUUACUUGCGGAAAGAGAGAGGGA
Molecule: unclassified non-coding RNA, 332 nt
Filed under: Hevea brasiliensis (rubber tree)
Lineage: Eukaryota; Viridiplantae; Streptophyta; Magnoliopsida; Malpighiales; Euphorbiaceae
Source: RNAcentral